This is an RNA transcript of Eucalyptus grandis, 782 nucleotides long. RefSeq lists it as uncharacterized. The transcript is spliced from 4 exons. The record is from RefSeq and is a predicted model, not a curated record. Lineage: Eukaryota; Viridiplantae; Streptophyta; Magnoliopsida; Myrtales; Myrtaceae.
GUCUCUCUCUCUGUCUUGUUCGGCCUCCUUCCUCCAUGGCGGCUGCUAGGAGAAUUUCGAACGGGUUGGUCAAGCUCGGAUCAUCAUCGGCUUGAUCCCAUCGUUUCCCCAGCUCGUCGUCGAAUCUUCCGUCGGGGACUCGCUUCCGUGCUCUCCGUCAAAGGUGGGCUCUCAACAAUGUCCCAUUCGCGGCGAGCUGUCCCUCACCGUCUCUUGCCGAUCCUCAUUCUCGCCGUGCUAUUGGUUCACCCAUGCGUUGCAGACGUGGGCACCGCCGCUCAGUCUGAUCCUCCACAAACCUCCGCUUGGUUGCAGAUGCUGGGGAUGAGAUUUGGGACAACGGGGCGGCUUGUUGGAGACAAUAUAGGGUGCGGUGCAUAAGCGGCGACCGGCCGAAUGCCUGCAGACCGGUCCAGUGGAUGAACGUCACGAUUGUGGAACAGGCGUUCGGCGUGGGCUCCCGUUCAAACGGUGCCACCAUGAUGCUGUCCACGACUGCAUAUAGGGCCAUUGCCGAUCUGUCUGCCAAGUCCAUCAAGAUCGAAUUCGAACGGAUUUGAAGUGAUUAAGAGGAAACUUUGGAAAGCAAAGCAAGGGGAGAUUAAAUUGAUGCUUUCUUUUUUUGGGGAAUGAAAUUAUACGGGGCGAUUAUCAAUUGAGAAAAUCUUUUGUCCGGAGAAUCUUCAGUUUUCUUUCGCACUUGAACCACCCACUUGCAAGAGCAAGGUUUAUCCAGAAAACAAUCGAAUUCAUCCCAGUUCAAAUUGAGAUUUUGAGGUUUA